ACGCAAUAGAUACCCCGGUAGUCCACGCCGUAAACGAUGAGUGCUAGGUGUUGGGGGGUACCACCCUCAGUGCCGAAAGUUAAACGCAUUAAAGCACUCCGCCUGGGGAGUACGGUCGCAAGACUGAAACUCAAAGGAAUUGACGGGGGCCCGCACAAGCAGUGGAGCAUGUGGUUUAAAUUCGAAGCAACGCGAAGAACCUUACCAAGACUUGACAUCCCGCUGACCGCUCUAGAGAUAGAGUUUCCCUUCGGGGCAGCGGUGACAGGUGGUGCAUGGUUGUCGUCAGCUCGUGUCGUGAGAUGUUGGGUUAAGUCCCGCAACGAGCGCAACCCCUAUGUUGUGUUGCUACCAUUUAGUUGAGCACUUACAACAGACUGCCGGUGACAAACCGGAGGAAGGCGGGGAUGACGUCAAAUCAUCAUGCCCCUUAUGUCUUGGGCUACACACGUGCUACAAUGGGCGGUACAAAGAGACGCGAGACCGCGAGGUGGAGCCAAUCUCAUAAAGCCGUUCGUAGUUCGGACUGCAGGCUGC
This 537-nucleotide ribosomal RNA is filed under the name uncultured bacterium. Its description in RNAcentral is "bacterial SSU rRNA". It matches the Rfam family "Bacterial small subunit ribosomal RNA", at positions 772 to 1308 of the family's 1533-position model. The record is from RNAcentral.